UUCCAGACUCCUACGGGAGGCAGCAGUGGGGAAUAUUGCACAAUGGGGGAAACCCUGAUGCAGCAACGCCGCGUGGGUGAAGGAGCGUUUCGGCGCGUAAAGCCCUGUCAGCGGGGAAGAAGAAAGACGGUACCCGACCAAGAAGCCCCGGCUAACUACGUGCCAGCAGCCGCGGUAAUACGUAGGGGGCGAGCGUUAUCCGGAAUUACUGGGUGUAAAGGGAGCGUAGACGGCCAUGCAAGCCAGGGGUGAAAGCCCGGGGCCCAACCCCGGGACUGCCCUUGGAACUGCAUGGCUGGAGUGCGGGAGGGGCAGGCGGAAUUCCUGGUGUAGCGGUGAAAUGCGUAGAUAUCAGGAGGAACACCGGCGGCGAAGGCGGCCUGCUGGACCGCGACUGACGUUGAGGCUCGAAAGCGUGGGGAGCGAACAGGAUUAGAUACCCGUGUA
This 447-nucleotide ribosomal RNA is filed under the name uncultured bacterium. RNAcentral describes it as "bacterial SSU rRNA". It matches the Rfam family "Bacterial small subunit ribosomal RNA", at positions 329 to 792 of the family's 1533-position model. The record is from RNAcentral.